This 510-nucleotide ribosomal RNA is filed under the name uncultured archaeon. Its description in RNAcentral is "bacterial SSU rRNA". It matches the Rfam family "Archaeal small subunit ribosomal RNA", at positions 325 to 836 of the family's 1478-position model. The record is from RNAcentral.
ACGGGGUGCAGCAGGCGCGAAAACUGACCAAUGCGCGAAAGCGUGAGUCGGUCAAUCCGAGUGUAGACCCAUCGGUUUACUUUUGUCAUGUGUACAACGCUUGGCGAAUAAUGUGAGGGCAAGACUGGUGCCAGCCGCCGCGGUAAAACCAGCUCAUAGAGUGGUGAUCAUGAUUAUUUGGCUUAAAGUGUGCGUAGCAGGGAAUUCUAAGUCCUCUGUGAAAUGUCAGGUCUUAAGCUUGACACGUGCAGAGGAUACUGGAAUCCUUGGGACUGGGAUAGGUGUAAUGUACGGUUUGGGUAGGGGUGAAAUCCGAUAAUCCAAGCCGGACAACCGGUGGCGAAGGCGUUACACUGGAACAGGUCCGACUGUGAGGCACGAAAGCUAGGGUCGCGAGCCGGAUUAGAUACCCGGGUAGUCCUAUGCCGUAAACGAUGCUCACUAAGUGUUAGGUAAUGCAAGACAUUCUCUAGUGCCGAAGCGAAAGCGUUAAGUGAGCCGCCUGGAAGU